RNAcentral lists this long non-coding RNA (325 nucleotides) under Triticum aestivum (bread wheat). Its description in RNAcentral is "long non-coding RNA (TAES_LNC003330)". Lineage: Eukaryota; Viridiplantae; Streptophyta; Magnoliopsida; Poales; Poaceae. The record is from RNAcentral.
GUGAUGUGUGUAUUAUUGAUUCACAUGUCGGGUCAGAUAUAAUUUAGGGCCUCAUAGACUGGCGGCUCCUUGAAUGAAAACAUACAUGAAUCAGGAAUGAAUAUCCUUGAAGAAAUAUAAUACUAACAACCAUAACAUAACCAUGACUUUAAAACAUCAUCACUUAUUUGGUAUUAUCGAAAAGUAGAGCAAUCUCUGCAACUAAUGUAGCUAACUCUACUCUCAUAAACUCACGGACUACAUACACAAUAGCAUAAACCAAAACUUACAAUCAUCACUUACAUGGAAGAAAUCUUACACCACGCGGCCUGGAGUUCAUCUCUAA